This is a long non-coding RNA of Cyprinus carpio carpio, 3026 nucleotides long. The record is from Ensembl. Lineage: Eukaryota; Metazoa; Chordata; Actinopteri; Cypriniformes; Cyprinidae.
CAGGUCCCAGUCACAGCCAGAGUCGAAAGACUGGUGUCUCUCAUAUCAGGGCUCCUGAAACCAGUGCGGAAAUGACCAGUGACUUUCCUUCCGUUACUGCAGAGUCCUUCCUUCAAGAGCUUAAAAGCUCACUGUUUGAGGAAAUACAUGAGGAUGAAACGGUACUUCAAGCCUCAACAGACUGGUCGACCCGAAAGAGCCUCAUAUCAGGGUGGUGGGAGAAAGAGAGACCCCGACUGGUCAACACCAUGGUGGCUGGACAACAUGCGGCAACUCGGAUCUGCCAACAUUGUGGAAAUGGUCCAGCCGUAAUCCGUUGUUGUGACUGCCGACCACACCCAUUCCUCUGUGGCCAGUGUGAUGUCAGGGUCCACCGAGGUCAAGUGUUCCACAACAGGGAUUCGAUGACACAUGCAUUCUUUCAUCCAUUGCCUCCCACAACUUGUGUUGUGGAGAGGGUUCUAACCCAGUGUGAGCGUCUUGUACCUUUGGAGAUGCCAGAGACAAUAUGCGGUUGUCUACGAGUAUCGUCCAGUGUCAUCGCAGGACAGUCCAUAGUUGUGGUUACAAUGAAUGGUAAGAAGAACUUUAUGGGUUUGGGUGGGGGUCACUUCUGUAGAAGUGUCUGCUGAAUCUCACCCACAGCUAUUUGCUGAUCACACCUCGUAUAUACUCCCUCUCACUUUUUGUCACAAUUAUGCACAUAUACGUAUCAUGUUAAAUUCAUACAUGUUACAUUGUGCAAGAAAUAUUCUUUAUCAUGGCUGGAAAUCCAGAGGUGUCAAUAGGUUGUGUGUUGAUUAGAUUGGCUGGGCCCAACUAUGUGAUGGAAAACAAUUAACCUUUGUUUGAAAGGGGAUAGUUAAUUUGCCUGACAAAUGUGUGACUUCCAAUAGAGUGCCUUACAAAAUGUUUGUAGAAGUAUCCUCCUGAUCCAUCCUUAGUCAAAGGUUCCCAUAUCAGUUGUCAGAAUGACACAGUUUAGUCUGUCAGAAUUAACUUUGUGUAUAUAUUUCCUUCUUUUUCCAGGGCGAUAUGAUCUCAGAUUGCCUCAGAUUAGAUGCAAAAGCAUGUGAAGCCACUUGGAGUCCUGGAGUGGAUGACCUGAUCCGUAAUGACUACUGGCCUGCCACUUCUCACUAUUCAACUGUGUAUGCAACAGAUGUCCUUUUUUUCUUUUUGAAGAGCUGAAGAUGGCAGCACCAGGGAUGUCUAGCCAAGCAUUUCUUAGAAUGCUGGAUCAACGCACUGUUCGAUUUGGCCGUGUAAGUAUUUGUGGUAAUAAUUGCGUAACUCCAUAAAUAAUACUAUGAGGGCAUGAUGAUGAUGAUAGUACACAUGAACAUUUGCACUGUUUAGGAAAAAAGUUGUGUUCAAUUUAGACCCUUUAUAAACAACCAUAAACUCAUGUUCUCUCAUCAGCAGUUUGCACUGAGACAUUUCCAAAAAAAAAAAAACAGGUAAUUCUGAAGAUCUCAACUUCUACUCCAUUGGCUACAGACUUUGACAUCUUCUCCCCAAUAUCAUUUCCUGAUCCCAGAAGUGUUCCCUUGGAUUAAUGGCCCAAACACUGCACAGGCUUACUUCUAAACAAUAUUGUAGCUGUUGUAGCCCUCUUUGUGUAAAGAUUUAAACUGAAUGUCAAACAAUAUCCUGUAUUUUUAAUGGCCAGGUCCCCCAAAUACACCAGUGUAUAGUGUAUGAGUGAAGUCUACACAUUGUUUAUUUCCUUUGAUAUGUAUUCUAAGGAGUGGUUACGAAGUUAGUACAAACAUCCCAUAUGUAUCCAUUUAGAACAUUUUUACUUCAGUGUAGUAUAUUGUUUAAUUUGAUCCGUUUUUUACUGUUCUCUUUUGUUCUCUUUUUACUGAACUCUUCUUUGAAACAGAGUGGAAACAUCACAGCAGACAGCUUCCGGAAAAAGCUUCUUGGAGUGGGAAGCUGUCCGAUUCGAAGUGGACAAAUUAUGCCAGGAGGACCACUUUGACUGCCCAGCGUGCAGCCCAGACAUGCUUGCAGUAUCCGUUGAUGGAAACCGUAAGCACUACAGAUUCAAGAGUGCAGCAAGGUACUGUGUGUGCAUUGACGGUCCAUUACUUUGAAAGUAACUGCUGUGAAUUGAAAAUCAUAUGAAUAUUUAAAGUUAAUAUGUAUCUCUUUUAUUUAGAUCGGAGGAAAAAGCCAUCUUUGAUGGCGUGUUCAUCGCAAAUGAUGAUGAUGUCGCAAGAUUCGUGGACUAUGUCCAUACCUCAACCAGUCAUGUAAACUUGCACAACUUCUCUAUAUUUACCUAUAAAAACACCACGUCCUACAGAGGACUUAGUUUGAACAAGUUUGGAAUGUUAAACAUCUUCCAUGUUUUAGGUCUCUGGAAGAGGUGUCUGUGGAGGGCAAUGGUCAGCGGCGCGUGAAACUUCUCAGAAGUCCUCAGGAAAAACAGACGAGGAGGGCCUGGAACUCGCUGUAUGUCGUCAUGGGGUUCUCCUUCGUGCCCUCAAUAUGUUCAGGGGGAGAUUUUUUUGCCUACCCCCUGUACCUCCAAAAAGCAAAUGGCCUGUAAGCCAGUUAAAAUUUUUUUGCAAUGGAUGUGGCAUGCAAGUACUGGCCUUACCUCCAGAGAGUGACAGAGAAAUGCCCUGAGCUUGAGGAUCUCCUCACCAUGAGGCCAUUUCUUUCUGUUUUUCAUGCCAAAGCUCAUGAUUUCAAAUGUGAGGUAAGAAAAAAUGAUUGUCCAUGAUAUUUUCUUUCCCUAAAAUCCUGCAUAAGAUUGUUGCCACUUAGGUUUUGUUUUUUUGUUUUCUUUUUUUAAAGGUAAAAUGGAGUGGAGCAUAUCAGGAGGGGGCUGGUUCGACUCUUGGGGAAGAGGUGGAGCAGUGCAACGCCUUCCUCUCGAGGAUUGCUGUUACGACAAAGCACAUGUCAAAAAGCAGGUAAGGUAACCAGUAAAUUUUGAUCCUGAUGACAUGGGUGAGCCACUUAUGCAUACAUGCUGACUCUGAAAAAUAUAAAGAUCAGAAUAUAUUAAA